GCUAGAGAGAGAAAUUCAAUAGGUAGCCAUCCUCUCUUAACCUCUCCAUCUUCCAUUUCACUUGCUUUUCACAGUUCUCAUCGAGAUUUCUUCUGCUUAUCUCUCUCCUUCAAGAUCAUCUUCUCCAGUUUCUAAUCGUCUCAGCUCGCUGACUAUUCAUUUUCUUCGGCCAAGUGACGCUGAAUCAGAUCCGUAAAGCUUCUCAAUCUGGAGAUGAUAAAUCAAAUUUUCUUAUCGAUGUUACUGAAAUAAGCCAGUCUACAAGGUGUUCGACAAAAUGCUCACAAGAACAUCUUUGUCUUCAGAUGGAUAUGCAACUUUUAAUUUUAUUGGGGUAUUGCGGCUGCUGACAAUAAUCAUGUUCAAAUUUUAUGAGGGAUUAAGAAGACGGGCAUAGCCCUUAUUUCCGAACUCAAGCUAAUAUCAAUAUAGGUUCUAAGAUCUUAAUUGGUUUAGUUCAUCCAUAUUCUCUAGUCAAGCAAACAAAGAAGAAGAAAAUGGUAUCACUGUUUUUAGAUUUUAAUAUAAAUACGAGAGGUGCG
Impatiens glandulifera is the source of this 542-nucleotide long non-coding RNA. RefSeq lists it as uncharacterized. The transcript has 5 exons. Lineage: Eukaryota; Viridiplantae; Streptophyta; Magnoliopsida; Ericales; Balsaminaceae. The record is from RefSeq and is a predicted model, not a curated record.